This is a microRNA precursor of Pan troglodytes (chimpanzee), 52 nucleotides long. It matches the Rfam family "mir-1302 microRNA precursor family". NCBI's taxonomy places the organism in Eukaryota, Metazoa, Chordata, Mammalia, Primates, Hominidae. The record is from Rfam.
UUUUUAGUAUAAAUAUGUCCUAUCCAAUGUUUGGGACAUACUUAUACUAAAA